UACAGAGGGUGCAAGCGUUGUUCGGAAUUAUUGGGCGUAAAGGGAGUGUAGGCGGUUUCCUAAGUCUUCUGUGAAAUCUCCGAGCUUAACUCGGAAACUGCCGUUGAUACUAUUUGUCUUGAAUAUUGUGGAGGUAAGCGGAAUAUGUCAUGUAGCGGUGAAAUGCUUAGAUAUGACAUAGAACACCAAUUGCGAAGGCAGCUUACUACACAACGAUUGACGCUGAGGCACGAAAGCGUGGGGAUCAAACAGG
This 253-nucleotide ribosomal RNA is filed under the name uncultured bacterium. Its description in RNAcentral is "partial 16S ribosomal RNA". It matches the Rfam family "Bacterial small subunit ribosomal RNA", at positions 524 to 776 of the family's 1533-position model. The record is from RNAcentral.